CCAGCUGCUUGUGCUAUGUUUAUUCCUCACCAGUGCCUAUGUUUGAGUAUUAAUUGUGUAUGUUUGUGUGUGUUGGUGGUGGAGCUAAAUCCCGGAAGAUUUAGAUAAGGAGAAGAAGGUUUUAGCGGGGUACCUGUCACGUGUUCGAUGAUAUGCUCGAACUGGUGGCCAUCGUCGUUCUUGCUAAAAAUCAAGUCAGAUCAUGAGGUACGUUAAUUGAUCACGUGAUGUUGAAGACAAGGUUUGGAUUGAUCUCAAGAUAAUGCUGAUGGACGAAGCUAAAGUGGGUGAAUCGAACAAGUAUCAGGAUGAGAGAUGCUCACCAAGCGUUAGUACUUUUGUGAAUGAUUUUGUAAAGUGUUUGCAAAUAUGUGCAAAACAUAAUAACAUGUGUAGGUUUUGUGAA
This is a long non-coding RNA of Zea mays, 406 nucleotides long. RefSeq lists it as uncharacterized. NCBI's taxonomy places the organism in Eukaryota, Viridiplantae, Streptophyta, Magnoliopsida, Poales, Poaceae. The transcript has 2 exons. The record is from RefSeq and is a predicted model, not a curated record.